This 253-nucleotide ribosomal RNA is filed under the name uncultured bacterium. RNAcentral's name for it is "partial 16S ribosomal RNA". It matches the Rfam family "Bacterial small subunit ribosomal RNA", at positions 524 to 776 of the family's 1533-position model. The record is from RNAcentral.
UACGUAGGGUGCAAGCGUUAAUCGGAAUUACUGGGCGUAAAGCGUGCGCAGGCGGCUUUGCAAGACAGAUGUGAAAUCCCCGGGCUCAACCUGGGAACUGCAUUUGUGACUGCAUGGCUAGAGUGCGGCAGAGGGGGAUGGAAUUCCGCGUGUAGCAGUGAAAUGCGUAGAUAUCAGGAGGAACACCGAUGGCGAAGGCAGGUCUCUGGGCUGACACUGACGCUCAUGCACGAAAGCGUGGGGAGCAAACAGG